RNAcentral lists this ribosomal RNA (933 nucleotides) under Cortinarius papaver. RNAcentral describes it as "eukaryotic LSU rRNA". It matches the Rfam family "Eukaryotic large subunit ribosomal RNA", at positions 38 to 955 of the family's 3401-position model. The record is from RNAcentral. Lineage: Eukaryota; Fungi; Basidiomycota; Agaricomycetes; Agaricales; Cortinariaceae.
GCAUAUCAAUAAGCGGAGGAAAAGAAACUAACAAGGAUUCCCCUAGUAACUGCGAGUGAAGCGGGAAAAGCUCAAAUUUAAAAUCUGGCAGUCCUUUGGCUGUCCGAGUUGUAAUCUAGAGAAGUGUUAUCCGCGCUGGACCGUGUACAAGUCUCCUGGAAUGGAGCGUCAUAGAGGGUGAGAAUCCCGUCUUUGACACGGACUACCAGGGCUUUUGUGAUAUGCUCUCAAAGAGUCGAGUUGUUUGGGAAUGCAGCUCAAAAUGGGUGGUAAAUUCCAUCUAAAGCUAAAUAUUGGCGAGAGACCGAUAGCGAACAAGUACCGUGAGGGAAAGAUGAAAAGGACUUUGGAAAGAGAGUUAAACAGUACGUGAAAUUGCUGAAAGGGAAACGCUUGAAGUCAGUCGCAUUGUCCAGGGAUCAACCUUGCUUUUGCUUGGUGUACUUUCUGGUUGAUGGGUCAGCAUCAAUUUUGACUAUUGGRAAAAGAUUAAGGGAAUGUGGCAUCUUCGGAUGUGUUAUAGCCUUUGGUUGAAUACAAUGGUUGGGAUUGAGGAACUCAGCACGCCGCAAGGCCGGGUUUUUAACCACGUACGUGCUUAGGAUGCUGGCAUAAUGGCUUUAAUCGACCCGUCUUGAAACACGGACCAAGGAGUCUAACAUGCCUGCGAGUAUUUGGGUGGAAAACCCGAGUGCGUAAUGAAAGUGAAAGUUGAGAUCCCUGUCAUGGGGAGCAUCGACGCCCGGACCAGACCUUUUGUGACGGUUCCGCGGUAGAGCAUGUAUGUUGGGACCCGAAAGAUGGUGAACUAUGCCUGAAUAGGGUGAAGCCAGAGGAAACUCUGGUGGAGGCUCGUAGCGAUUCUGACGUGCAAAUCGAUCGUCAAAUUUGGGUAUAGGGGCGAAAGACUAAUCGAACCAUCUAGUAGCUGGU